Molecule: transfer RNA, 72 nt
Filed under: Methanobacteriota archaeon
Lineage: Archaea; Methanobacteriati; Methanobacteriota
Description: Euryarchaeota archaeon (groundwater metagenome) tRNA-Ala
Rfam family: tRNA
About the family: Transfer RNA (tRNA) molecules are approximately 80 nucleotides in length.
Source: RNAcentral
GGGCCCGUAGCUCAGUGGUAGAUCGCCCGCUUGGCAUGCGGGAGGCCUCGGGUUCAAAUCCCGACGGGUCCA